UCCGGCUUAUCACCGGCAGUUUCCUUAGAGUGCCCAGCAUAACCUGUUGGUAACUAAGGAUAAGGGUUGCGCUCGUUGCGGGACUUAACCCAACAUCUCACGACACGAGCUGACGACAGCCAUGCAACACCUGUACUAGUCCGGCCGAACCGACGACCUACUUUCAUAGAUCUACGACUAGUAUGUCAAGGCCUGGUAAGGUUUUUCGCGUAGCAUCGAAUUAAACCACAUGUUCCACCGCUUGUGCGGGUCCCCGUCAAUUCCUUUAAGUUUUAGUCUUGCGACCGUACUCCUCAGGCGGAGUGCUUAAUGCGUUAGCUACUACACUGAAGCUGAUGCCCCAAUAUAUAGCACUCAUCGUUUACGGCGUGGACUAC
Molecule: unclassified non-coding RNA, 377 nt
Filed under: uncultured Rickettsiales bacterium
Lineage: Bacteria; Pseudomonadati; Pseudomonadota; Alphaproteobacteria; Rickettsiales
Description: contains 16S-23S intergenic spacer region
Source: RNAcentral